This 546-nucleotide ribosomal RNA is filed under the name uncultured Glomus. RNAcentral describes it as "SSU rRNA". It matches the Rfam family "Eukaryotic small subunit ribosomal RNA", at positions 548 to 1098 of the family's 1831-position model. Lineage: Eukaryota; Fungi; Glomeromycota; Glomeromycetes; Glomerales; Glomeraceae. The record is from RNAcentral.
UUGGAGGGCAAGUCUGGUGCCAGCAGCCGCGGUAAUUCCAGCUCCAAUAGCGUAUAUUAAAGUUGUUGCAGUUAAAAAGCUCGUAGUUGAAUUUCGGGAUUAGUACGUUGGUCGUGCCUUCGGUACGUACUGGUGUUACUGGUUCCUACCUUCUGACGAACCAUCAUGUCAUUAAUUUGGUGUGGCGGGGAAUCAGGACUGUUACUUUGAAAAAAUUAGAGUGUUUAAAGCAGGCUCGCGCUUGAAUACAUUAGCAUGGAAUAAUGAAAUAGGACGUUGACCCUAUUUUGUUGGUUUCUAGGAUUGACGUAAUGAUCAAUAGGGAUAGUUGGGGGCAUUAGUAUUCAAUUGUCGGAGGUGAAAUUCUUGGAUUUAUUGAAGACUAACUACUGCGAAAGCAUUUGCCAAGGAUGUUUUCAUUAAUCAAGAACGAAAGUUAGGGGAUCGAAGACGAUCAGAUACCGUCGUAGUCUUAACCAUAAACUAUGCCGACUAGGGAUCGGAUGAUGUUAUUUUUAAUGACUCAUUCGGCACCUUACGGGAAAC